GAUGAACGCUGGCGGCGUGCCUAAUACAUGCAAGUCGAGCGAACAGACGAGGAGCUUGCUCCUCUGACGUUAGCGGCGGACGGGUGAGUAACACGUGGAUAACCUACCUAUAAGACUGGGAUAACUUCGGGAAACCGGAGCUAAUACCGGAUAACAUGUUGAACCGCAUGGUUCAACAGUGAAAGACGGUCUUGCUGUCACUUAUAGAUGGAUCCGCGCCGCAUUGGCUAGUUGGUAAGGUAACGGCUUACCAAGGCAACGAUGCGUAGCCGACCUGAGAGGGUGAUCGGCCACACUGGAACUGAGACACGGUCCAGACUCCUACGGGAGGCAGCAGUAGGGAAUCUUCCGCAAUGGGCGAAAUCCUGACGGAGCAACGCCGCGUGAGUGAAGAAGGUCUUCGGAUCGUAAAACUCUGUUAUUAGGGAAGAACAAAUGUGUAAGUAACUAUGCACGUCUUGACGGUACCUAAUCAGAAAGCCACGGCUAACUACGUG
Molecule: ribosomal RNA, 497 nt
Filed under: uncultured bacterium
Lineage: Bacteria
Description: partial 16S ribosomal RNA
Rfam family: Bacterial small subunit ribosomal RNA
Source: RNAcentral